CCGCGUAUCUCUCGGGGACCCUGCGGCCAACACUGUCUUUUAGAGCCGGGGAUGGGGGAGUGGAGGGGGCCCUGUUGCCCUAGAGGCCUCGGGACCCUUCCCUUGCCCACCCCCACUCGGGCCGCGGCGGGCAGGAGCAGUCUGCGGAGUUCUGGCCCAUCUGUCACUCUGUCCCGGGACGCUGUGAUCCACGGCGGUGGGGGAGGGGGAAGGGGGAGGGACAAGCAUGGCUCGGGUGAAGUUUUAAACUCUGUUCUUCUCUCUUGCCUUUCUUUGGGGACAUUCUCCCCUUUGGGAUCUGUCCUGGACUUCGCAGGCUGCGAGAACUUGUUGACAAGUGAAAGCUCGGUAGAGCCCCGGCUUGGUUUGUGGUCUGCUUAUUUUUUGCAAAGUGACUGUUCCUGUUUGCGCUGGUCCUUAUCGGUGCCCCUUUGGGGGACUUCGGCACUGAUCAGCGCGCUGACAGCCGCCGUCCGGGCUGCGGGAAAAUGGGGCGCGCCCUCCGGGGGGCGAGUGGCUGUGUCCUUGCUAAUUUCCUCCGUAACCUUUAAACUCUCGCUGGAAGCUACCGCCGCGGCUGGUCACGUGAGGAGAGCCCUGGGCUGCUGGGGAAAAAUUUCCUCGGCUGGGAGCCGGGACCGGGCCGGCGGCCGGCGAGGGACUGCCCCGCGCCCGAGACUGGGAACCUGGGAGGGCAGGGCCGGAGCGCUGGGCCCCGGGGCGCGGCCCAGCUGGGACACCCGCGAAGACGGCGGCGGUGAAGAGGUCGGCUCCGCUGCCGGGGAGCUGGGGAUUAUGCAAAUGGGGAAAGAAAACCUCCGCCCUCGCCCUUCUGCCAAGUCAAGUCUGGGAAUUUGUAGGUAUUGUGGUAAGCUGAGUGUUCAUCUGGCGGGUCUGGUUAGUGUAAACCAAAAUUUAAAACGCGCCUCCCGAUCACUUUUUCCUCAGUGGGUAAAGGUUAUCAUUGCCUGCGGCUUAAAAGCCUAAAAAGGCUUAAAGGCGAGGAAGGAGGCAGUCCCCUGGAAAAACAGGAUAUCAAGUGCAGCAAACACGUCCCAAAAAUGAUCCGAAAAGUUCUAGGGCCAUCUCCUAAGAACAGGCAAAGCCUUUGCCUGCAACCGCUCUGGAGCUUCCUAAUACAGUAAUUUCUCGCAGCCUGCCCUGUUGAACAGGGCAGCUGGGUAGAGAUGGUGCUAAGAUUCAGUCUUCCGUAUGAUCUAGGUAGCUCCGAUGUAAAAAGCCAGGAUUUCAAUGGUUGUCUUACCCUGUCACUCCCCCAGCUGGAGAUACGAUAUCUUAAAAUAUGUCCGUUUGACAAAGCACAAGCAGGGGUAUCUCAUUGCUGUUUAAUUUUUAUUUCUUUGAUUAUUACUUUUUUCCCUUUUGCUUCUUCCUUCCACUCUGCUAUUCUCAUGAAGCCUCUUUCCCCCUUUCCAGGGCAUGUGAUGGAAGGCAGUGGCAAAUAUGGCUUGAUCUUCUGAAAAUGCAUUUGGGAAGCAGAGCCAGCACCAAAGUGAGAUGAGUGAGAUACUUUUCAGAGGCAAAAUGUAAAGGGUACCAAUAAACGUAAUCAAGAUAAAGAUUUAAUACAAUUUUUUAAAAAUAAAAAUGUGAGAAUCCAGAAUGGACACAAUAUCCACAUUUUAAAUAAUUUUAAAUAUUGCACUAAAAUAUUUAUACUACUGAGUUUAUUGGCACCUGUUAAAUUUUGUACCUGAGCCGAGUGCGUCACUCAUCUCACCCUAGUCCUGAUCCUGUUGGGAAGUCUGGAAAGUCAAGGAUUUCAUGGAGUUAGGGAUCCUUGACUAAUUGGUGCUUCAUAUGUUCUCAUUACUUGCUUUGGGUAAGUCUUGUACAGGCAGGAGCCACCAUGCCCAGCCCCCAAAUAUAUUAAAUAGGGUCUGUUACCAUCUCAGUGACUGUCUUAAAACAACCUACAAACUUCCAGCACCAUUUCCUAGCAUGCUGGCUCAGCAGACUGUUACUCCGUGUAAAUCACCAGACUGCAAUUCUCAAGGGCGACCAAUGCUUGUCUCCUUUCCAUUACAGCAACUCUUUUGGAGCAAGGGUAAUAAAAGACUUUGUCAAACAAAAUACAUGUUUUGUAUUGGAUUAAUGUUUACAUAAAAAGGGAGAAUGCUGGUAGUCUGCAUGCAAACACUGCUAGUUUCCUGCCCUUAUUACCUCCUUAUUUCUAAAUAAAUCUCUCGCCUUCCUACUCUCAAACUUGGCCAAAUGAAAAGUUGAAUUCCCCAGGGACAUCAUGGAGAUGCCAGGUCCAAAAUAACCCCCUGCUCCAGGUUUCAUGUGAAAAGAAAAUCCCAAGGAGGGGGCUUAGACGGUAAA
This 2346-nucleotide long non-coding RNA is filed under the name Homo sapiens (human). RNAcentral's name for it is "non-protein coding lnc-SRBD1-1:2". The record is from RNAcentral. Lineage: Eukaryota; Metazoa; Chordata; Mammalia; Primates; Hominidae.